UUUAUGUAUAGGACAAGAACUAUAGAAGAUACAGAGAAAUUAUAAACAGCAGAAAUGAUAGGCAAUUUAAAAUUUGCAGAAGCAAACUAAACCUAAAUGGUAAGGCCACUUUUAUUUAUUUUUUUAAAGUUGUUGAACUUGAAAGAUGAUAAUCAUGAUGAUUACUAUAAAAAUUAAAAGAUGUGGUAUAUUAAAUAUGAAAACUAUCAUGGCUUUAAGAAAGCAAUUGUAGGCCUGUGACGACCUUCAAUAAUGAGAAAAUCCAUACCCUAUAGUCAAAGUAGGCAGCUAUAAAAGACCCAAAGAUGAAAAAUUGAAACAAUCCAACAUGUCCAAACUGUAAAACUAAUUGCCUAGUUUAUUACAAAAUAAAUUACAAAAAAUAAAUAUGACCGGUAUGAAACAACAACAACAACAACCACUAAAUUUUAGUGUCAGACUAAACUUACAAAAACUACAGGCUCUGAACUUUGGACAGGCACAAUAGGAAUAUGGCAACCUAUGAUGUAAAUUUCCUGCAAACACAGACUGGACUAAUGUAAAUCAACUAAUUUUUCGCGACUACUUUAUUUUGCGUUUUAUACUUUCUAGUCUACAUCACAGCUAAUUAUUUUUCGCAAGGUUCAAGUUUACUUAAUGAAUUUUAAUAAAGAAAGCUACAUAUGAAAAACAUUUAUUGCUGUUUCUCUCUCCAUUUAUAACAUUUUAUUUGUUUAUUUUGUGUAUUUAUAGGUGAUCAGACAUCUUGGUUUUCACGAUCAAUAGGUCAUUACUGAAGAGGAAACUUAAAGUUGAAAUUUAUUUACAAAGUGCAUAAUUGGAUUAAUUUGAACUGGAAUGUGUGCUUUCCUGCAAAAAAGAAAAAACAGGAAAUUUC
This 877-nucleotide long non-coding RNA is filed under the name Mytilus galloprovincialis (Mediterranean mussel). The record is from RNAcentral. Lineage: Eukaryota; Metazoa; Mollusca; Bivalvia; Mytilida; Mytilidae.